Molecule: ribosomal RNA, 263 nt
Filed under: uncultured bacterium
Lineage: Bacteria
Description: partial 16S ribosomal RNA
Rfam family: Bacterial small subunit ribosomal RNA
Source: RNAcentral
CGAACGGGUGAGUAAUACAUAAGUAACCUGCCCUAGACAGGGGGAUAACUAUUGGAAACGAUAGCUAAGACCGCAUAGGUACGGACACUGCAUGGUGACCGUAUUAAAAGUGCCUCAAAGCACUGGUAGAGGAUGGACUUAUGGCGCAUUAGCUGGUUGGCGGGGUAACGGCCCACCAAGGCGACGAUGCGUAGCCGACCUGAGAGGGUGACCGGCCACACUGGGACUGAGACACGGCCCAAACUCCUACGGGAGGCAGCAUG